GAGUUAAAAAUAUGAGGAGAGUGAUUGGGAGGUGCAGGACCUCAGGCAGCUGGGUGAGGCGGGGUGGGGGGGCGGUGGCUCAGGUAGGGCGAGUCUGGGAGGGGGCAGGAGGGAAGGAUGCAGAGACCAACUGAGGGAGGCUGAGGAACAGAGAGAGACAGCCACAUGCAGGGACACAGGUAGAUGGAGAGAGGGGCAAGGGAACAGAGAGAGAGGGAAGGGCAGAGAGAGAGAGGACGGGACACAGAGGGUGAGAGGCAGCACACACACAGAGACAGACAUCCAUAGGAGGUACAGAAAGGGUGGAGAGUGGGAGAGGCUGAGAGAAAGAUGUGGGAGAUUGAGUGUGCUCUUGGCAAAGGUCUACAAUAAUUGGAGUGGGUUCAACGGUCAAGGCCAUGCUGUGGGGAAGAACAGGAACAGGGUCAAUUACAUCCUGCGGAUCCCUCAACACACCACCCCAUGGCAGCAAUUAGACACGAGGGAAACUGGAUUUAAUGUGAAUUUUGAAGGCAGCCAUGGGAAUGACAAGUAGAACACAUUGUCUUCAAUGUGGCCAGUGGCCCGCCAGGCAACCCAACCUGGCGCCUUCGUCUAUGAUGAAGGCUACAAAGCGUGAUUCCUUGGUCCCAGCCCCUGCUUGCCAGGUGGUCUCUCUGCGUGUCUCUGUCUUCAUGUGGUGCUUUCUUCUUCUUACAAGGACAUCAGCCAUGCUGGAUUAGUUCCCACUACUACUCUCUGGGACCCCCAAAUCAGCCAUUCUCCAUCAGGACCUGUGAAAAGAAGCCUCAAGCUCAAGUAAAGACCACCUCAAAGUCACAGCAACCUUUUUGAACCUAACUCUUCACCAUCUUGUCUAGUGGGCAGGGGAAUCAGUUGUCAGCAUUACAUACCUACCACAGCUGCAUACCAGAGUGAACCUAGGAAACGUUCCCACAGCGGCCAGAAUAUAAUGAUCCGAAGUAUCAAAUUCUACAUCUUUCCAAAAAAAAAAAAAAAAAAAAAAGGUCUGUGGUGCACGUGGGGGUAGACUUUGAGAGCUUUUCCAGCAGCAGAGGCGUUUCUGGAACAGCCCUUCUUUGAUCUGCCUCCCUAUCAAAGGCACCGUUCCUUUGAGGCGGGAGAAAAAACUGAUACCUGCAGGCCAGCCUGGGGGAGCCGCACCUGACUUCAGGCUCCCAUGUGAAGCCGUCUGUUCUUUAUUUUCACUCCGUAUGAAGCUAAUGGAAUUUGCAGUUGAUUAACCUCAAAUCUGGAGAAGUGAUCCAGUCUGGGAUUGCAGCUGGCAGGGCUAGGGCUACUUGUACUUCUUAACUGAGUCAGACAGCAACAAGUGUUUUUCCUCAAAAAGUAAAGGCCCAGAGAAAUGGGCAUGAGAGGGAGAGUCCCACAGCUCCAAGGACAGCCAGCAGGCAUGGAGGCAGACUGUCUAGCGUCUGAGCUGCAAAAAUAAGAUGAUGGUGUCUAGCUGACAAAUUAAACCAGGAACCUGAGAUCCUCUAAAAAAAAAUUCACAAAUAAAUACAUGGAGGCUCUGCUCUGUGGAAAGUCAGCAGUGUUGUGGUUAAAGCACGGAUGUUGGAGACAAGGACUCCCUGGCUUUGAAAUCUGGCUCGCCUACCUAUUGCUGUGUGACUCUGAACAAAAUACGGAACUUCUCUGUGCUGCACUCUCCUCAUCUGUCAAUUGGAAGUAAUCAAGGAAUUUUAAUGAGCACUAAAUGAAUUAAUGAUGGUAAAGUGCUUAAGAAUAGUGCCCAUCAUAAGCUUAUAGAUAUUUCCUUAAAAAAUACAUGGAUUUGUUUUUAGGAAAAUAUGCGAAUAUACAUUUUUCUUUUAAAGUCAUUACUCUUACUCAUAAUGCAUAAAGAAAAAGUAGAAAAUUCUUCAUCAGCUUCUAAAAGAUAAUAGUACAGGUAUACUAAUAUUGUGUUUGGAUACAUUUUUUACGAAACUAACUCUCACAUUAAAAUUGAUUGAAUAAGCAAGUAAAAGACAUUGGGUUGUUUCUUAUUGUUCCGCAUCAGACAGCAAAGGUUGCUGCUGAAUUUUCUGAGGGGAAGCUUCCACAUAUGGUAUAUUUAGUGCAUGAAAUGUGGCAUUUGGAUUCCUGUGUUUUUUUUUAAAUUGUCAUAUAAACAAAUAAUUCCAAACAUAUUUCUUCUUCAUGGAUUUGUUUCUAUUUUGCAAAUUGUUUCAGGCAUCAAUAAACAGGAUUACACAAAUGUGCAUACAACUGCAAAACUCAUUUAGUUUAGCAAGUGCUUCUCACAUAUUCAUUUACUCAACAAUGCUACUUUCAAGUCAUGUCAACAUUACUCCAUUUCUGCCUCAUGACUAAUACAGUGUUACUUAAACCCAUUUCACAUCUUACAUCCAAGGAAUACCACCAACCUUUUUGGUUUGUACCACCUGGUUUCUAAUUAAAAUUAAAUUGAGAAAGAAGCCUUCUGCAGAAGUGUAGAUUCUUCCAUAGCACACUUAUGGGGCCGGCGUCCUCAGCAAGGAUUUAAAAUAUAAGACCACUAAUGUGAAAGCUCAUUAUAGGAAAAAAGCAAAAAGUGAAAAGCACAUUAGACCAAUUAAGAGGCUGUGAGUGAGAGGCAUAUGGGUAUCCAAGAGUGUGAUGCUUUCAUUGUCCGUUCUUUCUAUCAAGGAGAGUGAAAAGAAUUUUUCACUUGUAACAUAAUACUGUGCCAAUUUCAAAAAUAGGUCCAUAAUAUAUGUGGAUGAUAGAACAGGGGGAAACACAAACUGAAGCCCCUCACCCUUAGCAUAAUAAUAAGAGAAUCUACUAUUUUGUGUGUGGCGUCAGAGAUUUCCAAACGCUCAACCACUCUAACCACCGUAAACAGGGAAACAAUACCCGUUAUUCACUCAAUUUUCUUGAGCUAAAAAAGGCAAAUGAUAACAACAUAUGCUCCAAAUGUGACCCAUGCAGUUUAGCUUAAAGGCAAAAUAAGAUAAAAGUCAGCAUUGCACACAGAGUUUAAACAGAAACAUACGUAUCUAUACACUUUCUUUCCCUCUCCAUAUGUUACCCUGUGGUGGGAAUUAUAAUACUGUGCAUCACACCUUUCACUCAAGGAUCUCAAGCCCCUCUCAGAAAUGAACACAAACCCGUAAACCAGCUCUGAGAAGCAGGUGGUGAGUAUUAUUAUUACCAUUUUACAAAUGGAGACAGUUAGUGUUCCCAACUUCUAGUUGAUUGAACUCAAGGCACUGCCACUCUUUAUUUGGGGAGGGGAGAGUGUUCCUUCUCUUCUCUCCCCCUCUCUCUCUCUCUCCCUCUGUCUUUAAUUUCAGUGACAACACAAAUGCAUGGUAGCACUUAAAGGUGGCCUUAUUCAAUGAUAGUGUGUAAAAGAGUUUGCUUCCCUUCCAUUUACUUUCCUUCAUCCCUGAAACUGCCAAAUACAACUCUUGAUUCUAAGAAUGAUCUCAAACCUUCUUCCAUGUUUCUCUUUUGGAUAGAGCUUGGAACACUAACAAGUGAAAGUCACAAUCCAGGAAAGUGAGUUCCUGAAUUUGAUGUUUUCAUUACCAAGAGUAAAAUGUGGGCAGCUUAGAACUGAAACUGACAAGUAGCACCCUCUGUGAUGCAAACUUUUGUGCUGCAGCUGGGGAAGUUGACUUAGACAGCUUUCCAAAGCAGCCUAAACUCUAAAUCCAACAAAGAGGGGUAUGUUUCAUAGCAGUGUUACUCAGGACAGAGCUUCAGUUGAGGUUCUCAGUUACUAAAUUUUAACCCAAGCACAACUGCUUAGGAACCUGAGGUCCAAGUGAGCACACAGAGGAUGGUUUUGAGAGCAGGCUUCCCAGGGAAAACCAACCUCUGAAGUCAGCAAGUUGGAGCUUAUGAAUUAUGAGCUUCCUACCAGUUUCAUGUCCUCUGAAGUUGGGCUUCAAUGUGCUAUAAAACUGGUCUUGUGUAGAUGACAUGCUUUCUGAAUUUGACACAAUCGAUUAUUGGGAAAAAGAGUUUUUAAAAAUUAUGAAAGUCAGUUUGCUUUUCAGGUCCAUGUAUCUACUUGAGAAGAGCUCACUUUGCUGAUACCACGUUCAUAAAAAUUUGUGUUUAUGGGAAAGACUAUUAUACUCCUCAUGAGAUCCAGCACAGAGUGAAAUACAUAGAGAUGCGGGCUUGAGAAGUCCUAGAUUUUUUAUUUUUAGGAGGAUCAUAUAUAGCCAUAAGAGGGAAAAAAACAUAAAUCAGAGAUCCCUCUUCCUCCAUUCCCCUGCUUAAAACAAAAAAACAUAAAACUACAAAGGAACA
This 4275-nucleotide long non-coding RNA is filed under the name Homo sapiens (human). Its description in RNAcentral is "HSALNT0292692". The record is from RNAcentral. Lineage: Eukaryota; Metazoa; Chordata; Mammalia; Primates; Hominidae.